GUAGGUGGCAAGCGUUGUCCGGAAUUAUUGGGCGUAAAGCGCGCGCAGGUGGUUCUUUAAGUCUGAUGUGAAAGCCCCCGGGCUCAACCGGGGAGGGUCAUUGGAAACUGGGGAACUUUGAGUGCAGGAGAGGAAAGUGGAAUUCCACGUGUAGCGGUGAAAUGCGUAGAUAUGUGGAGGAACACCAGUGGCGAAGGCGACUUUCUGGCCUGUAACUGACACUGAGGCGCGAAAGCGUGGGGAGCAAACAGGAUUAGAUACCCUGGUAGUCCACGCCGUAAACGAUGAGUGCUAAGUGUUGGGGGGUUUCCGCCCCUCAGUGCUGCAGCUAACGCAUUAAGCACUCCGCCUGGGGAGUACGGUCGCAAAGACUG
This 374-nucleotide ribosomal RNA is filed under the name uncultured organism. RNAcentral's name for it is "partial 16S ribosomal RNA". It matches the Rfam family "Bacterial small subunit ribosomal RNA", at positions 527 to 896 of the family's 1533-position model. The record is from RNAcentral.